CAACCGUAUCAUGUUGAGACACCGGUUCUCAUACGAUCACCGAUUUUAAGCAACGUUGAGCCUGUUCAGUACCUAGGUGGGUGACCGCUUGGGAAUAAUA
Acanthosepion pharaonis is the source of this 100-nucleotide non-coding RNA. The record is from the annotation of a GenBank genome assembly. NCBI's taxonomy places the organism in Eukaryota, Metazoa, Mollusca, Cephalopoda, Sepiida, Sepiidae.